This 653-nucleotide ribosomal RNA is filed under the name uncultured Chamaesiphon sp. RNAcentral describes it as "bacterial SSU rRNA". It matches the Rfam family "Bacterial small subunit ribosomal RNA", at positions 99 to 785 of the family's 1533-position model. The record is from RNAcentral. Lineage: Bacteria; Bacillati; Cyanobacteriota; Cyanophyceae; Gomontiellales; Chamaesiphonaceae.
CGGACGGGUGAGUAACGCGUGAGAAUCUGCCUUCAGGAUGGGGACAACAAUUGGAAACGAUUGCUAAUACCCGAUAUGACGAAAGUUGAAAGAUUUAUCGCCUGGAGAUGAGCUCGCGUCAGAUUAGCUAGAUGGUGUGGUAAAGGCGCACCAUGGCGACGAUCUGUAGCUGGUCUGAGAGGAUGAGCAGCCACACUGGGACUGAGACACGGCCCAGACUCCUACGGGAGGCAGCAGUGGGGAAUUUUCCGCAAUGGGCGCAAGCCUGACGGAGCAAUACCGCGUGAGGGAGGAAGGCUCUUGGGUCGUAAACCUCUUUUCUCAGGGAAGAACACAAUGACGGUACCUGAGGAAUAAGCAUCGGCUAACUCUGUGCCAGCAGCCGCGGUAAUACAGAGGAUGCAAGCGUUAUCCGGAAUGAUUGGGCGUAAAGCGUCCGUAGGUGGUUUUGUAAGUCUGUGGUUAAAGCGUGGAGCUUAACUCCAUAACGGCCAUGGAAACUACCAGACUAGAGUUAAGUAGGGGUAGAGGGAAUUCCCAGUGUAGCGGUGAAAUGCGUAGAGAUUGGGAAGAACACCGGUGGCGAAAGCGCUUUACUGGACUUAUACUGACACUGAGGGACGAAAGCUAGGGGAGCGAAUGGGAUUAGAUAC